This 401-nucleotide ribosomal RNA is filed under the name uncultured soil bacterium. RNAcentral's name for it is "bacterial SSU rRNA". It matches the Rfam family "Bacterial small subunit ribosomal RNA", at positions 975 to 1375 of the family's 1533-position model. The record is from RNAcentral.
CAGGUCUUGACAUCCUCUGACAACCCUAGAGAUAGGGCGUUCCCCUUCGGGGGACAGAGUGACAGGUGGUGCAUGGUUGUCGUCAGCUCGUGUCGUGAGAUGUUGGGUUAAGUCCCGCAACGAGCGCAACCCUUGUUCUUAGUUGCCAGCAUUUAGUUGGGCACUCUAAGGAGACUGCCGGUGACAAACCGGAGGAAGGUGGGGAUGACGUCAAAUCAUCAUGCCCCUUAUGACCUGGGCUACACACGUGCUACAAUGGAUGGUACAAAGAGUCGCAAACCCGCGAGGGCUAGCUAAUCUCAUAAAGCCAUUCUCAGUUCGGAUUGUAGGCUGCAACUCGCCUACAUGAAGCCGGAAUCGCUAGUAAUCGCGGAUCAGCAUGCCGCGGUGAAUACGUUCCC